Long non-coding RNA from Alosa alosa (allis shad), 405 nucleotides. RefSeq lists it as uncharacterized. The record is from RefSeq and is a predicted model, not a curated record. The transcript is spliced from 3 exons. NCBI's taxonomy places the organism in Eukaryota, Metazoa, Chordata, Actinopteri, Clupeiformes, Clupeidae.
UGCAGAUAUUGUCUUCCUUCUGGAUGGAUCUACGAGUGUGAAAGCAGACCAGUUCAUUCUCAUGAAGGAAUUUGUAAAGAAUGUGACCCGGAGUCUCCUGCCAUAUGACACCUUAUUUGCCUUUGCACAGUACUCUGACCAUAUGACCAUACAUGUGAACUUCAAUCAGUUCAAUAGAACAGGAUUUGAAAAGCAGGUGGACAGUAUGAUCCAGAGGCAAGGAGGCACAAACCCUGGAUACGGUGUUGGGAAAGUUGUGAAAUAUAUAUUUAAUUCUUUUGCUGGAGCAAGACCUGGUGCCAAAAGGAUCCUCAUUACCAUCAUAGAUGGGGAAAUCCAUAAUACUUCAGAAUAUCCCAGUGUCACAGCAGAGGCUGAUGGGCAAAAGAUUACUAGAUACGCUAU